Molecule: ribosomal RNA, 551 nt
Filed under: uncultured Acaulospora
Lineage: Eukaryota; Fungi; Glomeromycota; Glomeromycetes; Diversisporales; Acaulosporaceae
Description: SSU rRNA
Rfam family: Eukaryotic small subunit ribosomal RNA
Source: RNAcentral
UUGGAGGGCAAGUCUGGUGCCAGCAGCCGCGGUAAUUCCAGCUCCAAUAGCGUAUAUUAAAGUUGUUGCAGUUAAAAAGCUCGUAGUUGAAUUUCGGAACUCAUCCGUCGGUCGGGCUUAACUGUCCGUACUGGUGUGAUGGGUUCCUACCUUCUGAAUAACCGGCAUGCCAUUAAUUUGGUGCGCCGGGGAAGCAGGACUGUUACCUUGAAAAAAUUAGAGUGCUUAAAGCAGGCUAUCGCCUGAAUACAUUAGCAUGGAAUAAUGAAAUAGGACGGCAUGGUUCUAUUUUGGUGGUUUCUAGGAUCACCGUAAUGAUUAAUAGGGAUAGUUGGGGGCAUUAGUAUUCAAUUGUCAGAGGUGAAAUUCUUGGAUUUAUUGAAGACUAACUUCUGCGAAAGCAUUUGCCAAGGAUGUUUUCAUUAAUCAAGAACGAAAGUUAGGGGAUCGAAGACGAUCAGAUACCGUCGUAGUCUUAACCAUAAACUAUGCCGACUAGGGAUCGGACGAUGUUAAUUUUUUAAUGACUCGUUCGGCGCCUUACGGGAAAC